AGUAUGGUGGCCGAGUAUAGGCAAUAAAUUGUAAAUUUAUAUACGGGAUUAAACCCUCUUACUA
This 64-nucleotide transfer RNA is filed under the name Sungaya inexpectata. RNAcentral describes it as "tRNA-Tyr". It matches the Rfam family "tRNA". Rfam says of the family: Transfer RNA (tRNA) molecules are approximately 80 nucleotides in length. Their secondary structure includes four short double-helical elements and three loops (D, anti-codon, and T loops). The record is from RNAcentral. Lineage: Eukaryota; Metazoa; Arthropoda; Insecta; Phasmatodea; Heteropterygidae.